UACGGAGGGUGCAAGCGUUGUCCGGAAUCACUGGGCGUAAAGCGCGUGUAGGCGGCCCGAUAAGUACGCUGUGAAAGUCCAGGGCUCAACCCUGGGAUGCCGGUGGAUACUGUCGGGCUCGAGUCCGGAAGAGGCGAGUGGAAUUCCUGGUGUAGCGGUGAAAUGCGCAGAUAUCAGGAGGAACACCAAUUGCGAAGGCAGCUCGCUGGGACGUUACUGACGCUGAGACGCGAAAGCGUGGGGAGCAAACAGG
RNAcentral lists this ribosomal RNA (253 nucleotides) under uncultured bacterium. Its description in RNAcentral is "partial 16S ribosomal RNA". It matches the Rfam family "Bacterial small subunit ribosomal RNA", at positions 524 to 776 of the family's 1533-position model. The record is from RNAcentral.